This 74-nucleotide transfer RNA is filed under the name Nocardia seriolae. It matches the Rfam family "tRNA". From Rfam's summary of the family: Transfer RNA (tRNA) molecules are approximately 80 nucleotides in length. Their secondary structure includes four short double-helical elements and three loops (D, anti-codon, and T loops). Further hydrogen bonds mediate the characteristic L-shaped molecular structure. tRNAs have two regions of fundamental functional importance: the anti-codon, which is responsible for specific mRNA codon recognition, and the 3' end, to which the tRNAs corresponding amino acid is attached (by aminoacyl-tRNA synthetases). tRNAs cope with the degeneracy of the genetic code in two manners: having more than one tRNA (with a specific anti-codon) for a particular amino acid; and 'wobble' base-pairing, i.e. permitting non-standard base-pairing at the 3rd anti-codon position. The record is from Rfam by way of RNAcentral. Lineage: Bacteria; Bacillati; Actinomycetota; Actinomycetes; Mycobacteriales; Nocardiaceae.
UCCCUCGUAGCCCAAUUGGUAGAGGCGGCACGCUCAGACCGUGUCACGUGUGAGUUCGAAUCUCACCGAGGGAA